Molecule: ribosomal RNA, 405 nt
Filed under: uncultured bacterium
Lineage: Bacteria
Description: bacterial SSU rRNA
Rfam family: Bacterial small subunit ribosomal RNA
Source: RNAcentral
GUAGGGAAUAUUAGAAAUGGACGAAAGUCUGAUCUAGCAACACCGCGUGUGCGAAGAAGGCCUUCGGGUCGUAAAGCACUUUUUGGAAGGAAUAGGAAGGAAUGUACUUCCAGAAUAAGUCUCGGCUAACUACGUGCCAGCAGCCGCGGUAACACGUAGGAGGCGAACGUUAUCCGGAUUUACUGGGCGUAAAGCGCGUGUAGGUGGUUCUGUAAGUAGGGCGUGAAAGCUCCCGGCUCAACUGGGAGAGGCCGUUCUAAACUGCAGAGCUAGAGGAUGGUAGAGGGAGGUGGAAUUCCAGGUGUAGCGGUGGAAUGCGCAGAUAUCUGGAGGAACACCAGUGGCGAAGGCGGCCUCCUGGACCAUUCCUGACACUCAGACGCGAAAGCUAGGGUAGCAAACGGG